RNAcentral lists this unclassified non-coding RNA (352 nucleotides) under soil metagenome. RNAcentral's name for it is "partial contains 5.8S ribosomal RNA, internal transcribed spacer 2, and large subunit ribosomal RNA". The stretch from base 1 to 120 matches the Rfam family "5.8S ribosomal RNA", at positions 35 to 154 of the family's 154-position model. The record is from RNAcentral.
GAUGAAGAACGUAGCGAAAUGCGAUAAGUAAUGUGAAUUGCAGAAUUCAGUGAAUCAUCGAAUCUUUGAACGCACAUUGCGCCCGCCAGUAUUCUGGCGGGCAUGCCUGUUCGAGCGUCAUUACAACCCUCAGGCCCCCGGGCCUGGCGUUGGGGAUCGGCGGAGCCCCCCGUGGGCACACGCCGUCCCCCAAAUACAGUGGCGGUCCCGCCGCAGCUUCCAUCGCGUAGUAGCUAACACCUCGCGACUGGAGAGCGGCGCGGCCACGCUGUAAAACACCCAACUCUUCUGAAGUUGACCUCGAAUCAGGUAGGAAUACCCGCUGAACUUAAGCAUAUCAAUAAGCGGAGGA